Capsicum annuum is the source of this 194-nucleotide non-coding RNA. The record is from Rfam. Lineage: Eukaryota; Viridiplantae; Streptophyta; Magnoliopsida; Solanales; Solanaceae.
AUACCUUUCUCGGCCUUUUGGCUAUGAUCAAGUCUAGUAACUGUUCUUAUCAGUUUAAUAUUUGAUAUGUUGGCCAUUGGUCCACACGAUAUUAACUCUAUUUUUUGAGGAGGAAGGCUCAUCAAGGUAGCUUGCUGCCUGGGCCUUCAUGCGUUGCCUAUGCAUUGCACUGCUGCUAAUCAAGUAUAAUCAUU